This 438-nucleotide ribosomal RNA is filed under the name Chiltoniidae sp. AL1. RNAcentral describes it as "partial 28S ribosomal RNA". Lineage: Eukaryota; Metazoa; Arthropoda; Malacostraca; Amphipoda; Chiltoniidae. The record is from RNAcentral.
CUGCCCAAAAUGCUUGAGCACUGGCUAGCUGGGUUGUGGCUGUUGGGCCUUCGUGCCAUGUCACGCAUGCCCUUAACAGGCGGAUUCGUUCAUGGGCGCAGCAUUGCUUGUCAUUGUUGCCCUCCUCUGAUGUGUCCGUGCUGGGCGAACCUCUCAAAGCAUCACACGGUAAUUGCCCACCACAGCUCGUUGCUUGGUCACCCGCUGGGUCUAGACGUGCAGGAUGCUCAUCCAGGUUCCGGACUGUCAAUGUUGACGCGUGUGUAUGGGCGAUGCUACCGUACGGAGGGCUUUUCCGUGCGCGUACACGCUCGCGUCACGUCCGUGAUACCCUGGCUCUGACUGCCGACUCGUAGACGUGGUGUGAUCCAUUCGGCGACGAAGCUGCAAUUGGCCAGACACAUGUCCAACCCCAGCACUGCGGCCAUGUGUCGGUCG